CGCGUGGGAACAUACCCUUUCCUGCGGAAUAGCUCCGGGAAACUGGAAUUAAUACCGCAUACGCCCUACGGGGGAAAGAUUUAUCGGGGAAGGAUUGGCCCGCGUUGGAUUAGCUAGUUGGUGGGGUAAAGGCCUACCAAGGCGACGAUCCAUAGCUGGUCUGAGAGGAUGAUCAGCCACAUUGGGACUGAGACACGGCCCAAACUCCUACGGGAGGCAGCAGUGGGGAAUAUUGGACAAUGGGCGCAAGCCUGAUCCAGCCAUGCCGCGUGAGUGAUGAAGGCCUUAGGGUUGUAAAGCUCUUUCACCGAUGAAGAUAAUGACGGUAGUCGGAGAAGAAGCCCCGGCUAACUUCGUGCCAGCAGCCGCGGUAAUACGAAGGGGGCUAGCGUUGUUCGGAAUUACUGGGCGUAAAGCGCACGUAGGCGGAUAUUUAAGUCAGGGGUGAAAUCCCGCAGCUCAACUGCGGAACUGCCUUUGAUACUGGGUAUCUUGAGUAUGGAAGAGGUAAGUGGAAUUCCGAGUGUAGAGGUGAAAUUCGUAGAUAUUCGGAGGAA
This 557-nucleotide ribosomal RNA is filed under the name Rhizobium sp. JC108. RNAcentral describes it as "bacterial SSU rRNA". It matches the Rfam family "Bacterial small subunit ribosomal RNA", at positions 114 to 706 of the family's 1533-position model. Lineage: Bacteria; Pseudomonadati; Pseudomonadota; Alphaproteobacteria; Hyphomicrobiales; Rhizobiaceae. The record is from RNAcentral.